AGGGAGAAGGAAAAAACCUCUGAAGAUUACAUCAGGGCAUUCGCGUCACACACCGCUCAUCAUCCACACUUUGUAACAAAUUCUAAUAGAAGAAGUACUCAGACAAGGGAGAAGGAAAAAAAACUCUGAAGGUUACAUCAGGGCAUUCGGGUCACACACCGCUCAUCAUCCACACUUUGUAACAAAUUCUAAUAGAAGAAGUGACUCAGACAAGGCUGCAGAUCGGUGAUACAGAUGGAGCAGGCGAGAGGGAUCCACC
Hyla sarda is the source of this 259-nucleotide long non-coding RNA. RefSeq lists it as uncharacterized. The transcript has 3 exons. The record is from RefSeq and is a predicted model, not a curated record. Lineage: Eukaryota; Metazoa; Chordata; Amphibia; Anura; Hylidae.